AAACCAGUUGUAGGGUACCUCUUACUUGGCAAGCAAUGGUGAUUGUUGCAAACAUUGCAGAAUUUGAUCUCGGUGUCUUGCCAAAGGAGAGUUGCCCUAUGACUGUUU
Molecule: microRNA precursor, 108 nt
Filed under: Populus trichocarpa (black cottonwood)
Lineage: Eukaryota; Viridiplantae; Streptophyta; Magnoliopsida; Malpighiales; Salicaceae
Description: miR399i stem-loop (ptc-MIR399i)
Gene: ptc-MIR399i
Source: miRBase by way of RNAcentral